GGGGCCUCCAGGAACAUGGUUGGGAACCACUGGCUUAGCCAGUCUUUGCUUUAGCAGGAUAGUCAAACAGAAAGAUCCAAUGGGGAAUUUCAAACUGCAACUCAGGUAUAAGGAUUCGAGGACAGAAGGCAGAAGGGCAGGUAGGGGAAUUUAGGUAGGUAGACUGGAGAAGUGAACAAACACAAGAAUGGAGAACUGGAGAAACUGCAACAAGACCAGCCAAUUGUGAUGUGACUGGUGACUGUUUAUAUAGCAUGGGGGAAUGAGGUGAUCAGAUGAAACAAGCUACUAUGCAAAGAGGACUCAAAUUUUUGCCGGAAGCAAUAGUUUCAAGUUACAACUGUCUUGAUUUUUUUGUUUCAUAGAAAUAUGCAGCUUUUAACUUCACAAGACUUUAACUGAUGG
Carassius carassius (crucian carp) is the source of this 405-nucleotide long non-coding RNA. RefSeq lists it as uncharacterized. The record is from RefSeq and is a predicted model, not a curated record. NCBI's taxonomy places the organism in Eukaryota, Metazoa, Chordata, Actinopteri, Cypriniformes, Cyprinidae. The transcript has 4 exons.